RNAcentral lists this ribosomal RNA (445 nucleotides) under uncultured bacterium. RNAcentral's name for it is "bacterial SSU rRNA". It matches the Rfam family "Bacterial small subunit ribosomal RNA", at positions 354 to 796 of the family's 1533-position model. The record is from RNAcentral.
GUGAGGAAUAUUGGACAAUGGAUGGAAAUCUGAUCCAGCCAUGCCGCGUGCAGGAAGAAGGUCCUAUGGAUUGUAAACUGCUUUUGUACGGGAGCAAUAAGGGCUAUGCGUAGUUCGAUGAGAGUACCGUACGAAUAAGGAUCGGCUAACUCCGUGCCAGCAGCCGCGGUAAUACGGAGGAUCCGAGCGUUAUCCGGAUUUAUUGGGUUUAAAGGGUGCGUAGGCGGUUCAAUAAGUCAGUGGUGAAAGUUUUCGGCUUAACCGGAAAAUUGCCGUUGAUACUGUUGGGCUUGAAUUUGGUUGCUGUGAGUGGAAUGUGUGGUGUAGCGGUGAAAUGCUUAGAUAUCACACAGAAUAUCGAUUGCGAAGGCAUCUCACAAAGCCAAUAUUGACGCUGAUGCACGAAAGUGUGGGGAUCAAACAGGAUUAGAUACCCGAGUAGUCC